Molecule: RNA transcript, 8036 nt
Organism: Mus musculus (house mouse)
Lineage: Eukaryota; Metazoa; Chordata; Mammalia; Rodentia; Muridae
Gene name: RIKEN cDNA 2310067E19 gene
Exons: 1
Source: RefSeq, a predicted model, not a curated record
UUUUCUAUUCUACAUCUUAGAAUUAUGUUCUGUUGAAAAUAUGAACAGAUCCAAGACAAAGUAUGUAAUUCACACGGGAGAGGGCAGAGCCCCACAGAGACCUUGAAGGAUUAGUGCAAAUGGCUCUUGCCCUGUGUCCCAGGCAUUCCUCAUGGACGUGUGCACUCAUCUCUGAUUCUUCUCAUUUUCCUAAAGAAACCACAGAAAUAUUCCUUUUACCCUCUGUGUGGCUCGGCUCACAGGUAGCAUGUGUUCCUCUGAGCUGUAUUCUUCUGCCCUAUCUUCCUUUAGUCUCUUCCUGCCUAGACUAUUGUUUAUUGGUGUAUCCUUGUGAGUUAAAACCACAAAUGCCCCUAAUGGAGAAAUUGCCUUCCUUACAUCUAAGAAUGGCUGUCGGUUAGGCUGGAAAAAUAAGACAGGGAUAUACAGGGCCACCUAAGAGAGAAAAACAACGCUGGACUUCUUAAAACUUAACAUAUAUCUGGUGUCAGUAAGAAUACGGAGUUGCUUUUGUUUUUGGUUAAUUUUGAGUGGCCAUUUCUUUAUUUCUAGAAUGUUCAGUGGAAAUCGGUUUCCCUAAGGCCGGAAGUCUAGGCUAGAGGCAAAACCUUUGAAGUUUGUCUCCUUUCUUCCUUUGUACAUCAGAAUAAAUCAAAACAAAACUCUAAUCCCGUUAUUACAUUUGACAACCAUGGAAGGUUUCUACAGUGUGCCAGGAAAAUCAGUUUUUCUCACUUGAGCUUGGAGUUUUUAAGGCUGCUUUAAAUUUUUCCUGCCUGUUUUAAGAUGUACAUACUGGCUAGUAGCAGGUUGUGCAGCGGACCUGAUGAGAGUUAAGUCACUGCCAAAACCUAAGACACUACACACCUGUAGAAGGUACCAGCAGACACUACAUACCUGUAGAAGGUACCAGCAGACACUACACACUGCAGACACUGCACACCACUGACACGCACAAGGUGGACAGGGCACAUGGUGGAUACUGUACACUGUGGAUAGCGCUCACACCUCACACCAGGGAUACUACACACCGUGGAUGUGGACAUCACACAGUGUGGCACCGCAUGUAUCUGGGGCUCAGGUUUCCUUUUUGUUCAUGAACUUUUCAGUUCUGAACAUGACCUUUUGUGUCUACUGUUUAGUCUUCUGUAAUGGGGUGUUUACAGUUGCCUGCCUUUAGGGAGUAACACUCUAUUUCCCCCUUCAUAGUUUUGACUCAAUUUAUGUUAGAAUACUUUUAGCACUGUCUCUUUUCCUUAGACAAAUACAUAGAGAGUAACUGGCUCUGAAAAAUAAAAGGGAAUUUUAUUUUGUUAGACAAUGGGAAGAGAAGGCUGGAAGUGGAAACAUUUGGAGUUCUCCUCUGCUUCCUCAGCCAUUUCUUCACAGUACAGAGAUAGCCACCCUUCAGUCAUGCAUCAAAACAACACCCUGUUCAACAUAGUUUGUUUUAGAGGCAGUACAAAUAACAAAAUCGUGUUACAGGUGAUGACAAAAGUCUACAACAGCCUUAUCACCACUAGCCUUUUCCUUUUAGGGGGAGGUGAGCCAGAUGUUUAAACAAUAUGGCAGGGUAUGUGAAUGCCGCAGGACUUGGAGACCUCGGGAAAGAAAUCAUGUCUGCACUCCUAGUGUUUCACAGUUUCAGACCCCUGACCUAGAAACAGUUUAAACAGAUGUUUAGUUCAAGGGAUUUAUGUCAAUGGUGAAUUCUUUUAUUUAUUUAUUUAUUUAUUUAUUUAAUCUUAUUUUAUUUUUGUCUUUGGAAAUUGCUGCCUUGAAAAACGAUACCCUUUUUUUCUUUUCUUUAACUAGAAAAUGAACCUUUAAUAUUUCAAAGCUUCUAGUUUUGUGCUAAAACUCUUGACACUGAUGCAGGAUUGAAACAGUGGAAUGGCCUCCUCUCUCAUUACUGUUGAGGCAAAUGAUGCAUGUCACCUCUGUCUCUCCUCCCACCUCUGUCUCUCCUCCCAGGUGGUUAAACCCAGACUGGCAACAUUAACAGAGUUUCCUAAAGAAGACAAGACCCUACAAACCCCCAGAGAUCAUGAGCCAGCAUACACUCUGCAUAGCUCUUCCUCUUCAUGCCUGCAGUCCAGGCCUGUUUCCUUCCCUCCAGUUAAGCUUCUUCCUUUAGGUAAUUUCCUCCAACCAGAACCCUGUCCUCACAGCAAAGCCGCCCUUAUGGAAGUGUCGGUUUCAUAUCUGAGAUGUUUUUGUGUGCGUUUGCUCUGCUUUGACUUGCACAAGGAGAAAGAAAGCAGUUUUUUACUGGAGGCGAAACAGCCACCUGUGAAAACUAAUUGCGUAGGUAGAGGUUUGAUGGUAUCUCUGGGAGAGAUCCAGCCGGAAGAAAAGUAAAUGUUCUCAAUCUAUGCGGAAGUCACCUGUGUGCCAAACUGACCCUCUUUAUCAAAGCCAAGACUGAAAUGUCCCAUCAAGCAUGGGGCUCAUAUUUAGGUGGUGAGAUGGAGUGGGGAGCCAGGGGCCGGGGCCAUGGGGAAGGCAGGUAUAGUCUGUGUUCCUGAACAGCCCUGAUCAGUUAAACAAAAGUCAACAUGGUGGACUCUCCACGGCCUCUUUAGGGGCUGAAUAUGAUGUCCGUGGUGAAUAGUUUGAAGCGAUAGUAUGAGAUGGUACCAUUUUGAGUUCCUCAUUUCUCUUCUCUCACCACUCUUUCCCCUUGAAAAUUUCUUUUUCCUUCUCUAGUGCUGUAGAUUUAGAUUUAUUCCUUGAUCUUACCAUUCUAUUAUAGCAAUUGUUUGCAACAAAAAGGGCAGAGCUAGCUUCAGUGCUGAGGCAGGCACAUAGUGCCACCAUCUGUGGAACCCUGUGUCUGGAUGAUUGUCACAUAGUUAGAAAGCAGAUCCAUCAGUGGCAGGCAUACCGCCUCAUUCUGCCACCAGUGCAGUAGACUGAUCUGGCUGUUCGCUUGGCAGGGUCUGAUCUGUCUUGAGAGGUUCUACAUCUUGUUGUCCUAAGUGUGUGAUGGCUAUGGUCUUGGCAUGAGGCGUGCUGGACAAACAUGCCAGCAUGUUUUCUUCAUUUUUCAGCCAGAGAGGGCUGACAGCACAGAUCUGAUCGAGACUCCUCCAUGGCCUCCCUCUAUGGGAAACCAACACUAGAAAGGACAGAUAAUUUUCUAUUAUAUAAAGCACUACAAAGUUUAGAGAGAUUUUUAGGAAGAGUUACAUGAUCUUUAGAGGAGCCCAAUAAAAAAAAUAAAUAAAUCUUUAGAAAGAGACAAAGAAGUUUUCCAAAAGCUACAUAAACUAAAUAAAGAUGUGAAUUAAAAUGACAUUUACAUGAUUCAAAAAAAAAAAAGCAAGCCUUUUGCUUGGAAGACUUUGGGCAUAUUUUUUACUGUUCUUGGUGAUAGUUUGCUAAGUGUUCAAGUGGGGUCUCAGUGCAUUUUACUCAUGCUGAGCUGUCUCAGGAAACUGAGGAUAAGCGAACCAGAGGGCUUUCGCAGAGUCCCUGCGAUCCUCACUGACUGGAAAGAAGCUGGAUCUCUGAAGUACAAGGGACUCCUUACCUCAGUGCCUCUGGCUCCUCCCAACCCAUCCUUCCAUGCUAGUGUCUUGUUGGUUCUUGCCAGAGCCAACAGCUCUCUCCUGCAUCUGUGACCUAGGAAGCCUUCCCCUUCCAGCCACCACCAGAGCCUCUUCAGAAGCCAAUCCCAUAGAAAGCAAACCCCUCUGCAGGCUGUAUUAGAAACCCACUUUUAAAUACAUCCCCAGUCAACCUGAAUAUCUGAUUCUUACCAAUGCAUUUCUUGAGAAAAGGUCCCUCCAUCUUUUCUGAGCCCAUUGGGUCCUUGCUUAUAAGGACAUUUUUAAUCCUGCAGAGCACCCAGUCACUGUCAAGUAUACUGUGCUAUCACUAUGCCUAGGAAUUCAGCGCAUUUGAUAUAUAAUAGAUCCUGAACAUUCGUCAGAUUGCCAAGGAUCUGCAUUUACCAUGCAUUUAUCAUGCAAUUACCAUGCAUUUCUAAACCUAUAGGUAGCCUUUGAGAAUGCAAUGUCCUUCUCAAGCAUCAGUCUCUGUCUAAGAACUAUCGUUUAUUUAGUCCUUUUCAGAGAGAGAGAGAGAGAGAGAGAGAGAGAGAGAACACACUUGACAUGAAACAUGCAAGCGUGUGUCUGUGAAUAUGGAGGCCAGAGCUCUCUCUACCUUUUUUUAAUUUUUAUUUAUUUAUUUAUUUGGAGCCAGGGCCUUUUCACCUAACUGGAUGUCACCAACUGGAGCAGACUGGCUGGCUCCCGUACUUUUUACAGGGCCUCUUAUCUUUGCAUCCAUCCCUAACUGCCUGUGCAUGGUGCUGGGGAUCAGAGCUCAAGGAGUCAUGGAUAUGAAAAUGCUUUGUUGACUGAUACAUCUCUUCAGUCUUCCCUCCUCAUUUUAUUUUUAAACAAAGAAUAAUGUGAAUUGAAAUAAAACAUGGAGGAUGUCAUUGCUUCUGGCUUUCUAUGUGGCAGUGAGUGGGGAGGGAACCAAAUGCUCUCUGAGAGUGAGGUGGUCAGGGUUUCUACUCCUAAGAGAGUCUCCACAGUCAUGUGUGCUGAGUCACAGCUUUUGGAAAGUCUCUGUGUUUUGAUGGAUAACCCCUUUCUCUCUGACAUGAUUCUCAUUAAUUGUUUAUAGGCUGUAGGGUGUGGAGUAGGGAGAUACUGAUCUACUAUGUAGACCUCCAAAUGAAGGCAUUCUCCAAAGAAGGGUUAGUGACUUGAGCAGUGGAUUCUGUGUAUUAGGUGGAGAUCUCAGUUUCAAAUCCAGUGUGUGUGUGUACAAGCACACUCAUGCACAUGUGUGCAUGUAUGUGGCAAUGUGUGUGCUUACUUUAUUUUUAUAAUGUUUUCACAUAACAAGCUUUCAAAGAGAAGGACACCCUCACUGGCCUGAUCCAUGAAGACAAAGUAGAGAACAUGCCUCCUAGUUCACAAAUAAGAACGCAGUAGAAAAGCAAACAGUUCAGAUCCUGCGACCUUUUCCCCCAGUAGUUUCCCCAGUUCAUGUUGAACCUCCAGCAAAGUCCUAUUUGUAUUUGUUUCUGUUGUAAGAUGUCCAGGAGAAACUGAAAAAGCAGGCUGCUGGCAACAGCAACACAGGAUAACAAUCGGAAGGCAGCAAGGUACAUCCUCUGCCUUCGCUCAAGAAGUGUAUGAGUUCCUUUAUGCCCUCUUUUUGCUCUGUGACAGUAGUCCUGGCCAUGUGCAGGAGUGCUCUCAGAUACUUAGACCACACAAUCCUGCCUACCUGCAACAUUCCAUAACUGGAAGGGCUGAGUUUUCAUCCUAACCCUGAGAACAUUGCUCCUGCACUUGUAAGCACCCAGUGUCAAACAGCCUGUUGUUUAAAUUGCAUGGUAGAAUAUGUUUCCGGUUAGAGCAUUUAUGAGAUUGCAGUAGACGCGAAUGGGUGUUCACAGUCAUGGUACCCUUGCUCCCAUUGAACUCACAUCUUAAGUGAGCCAUCUAAGAGUUCUCUUACAUUUACUGUGUCCAUAAAAGAGCACUCAGGAUGCUUGACAACAACAAUAGCUACAGCCUCUGGAAACAUAAAUGAUGUGCGGGGGUGGGGAGAAAGUCUCCUCUGUUCAGACAGUUUAGUAAAUUGCAUUAUUUAAGCAAAACCUAAUUAUGGGAGAGGCUGAUAUAAUGGUCUAAGAAAACCUCGUGGUUUUCUUAGGAUGACAUCUUUACCACUGUAAUGAGUCACUCUGCCCAUUUGUGUUCAAUUCAAAGGACAACAAACUAUAGCAGGUUUGUUGUUUACCUUAUCCCUGGAAUUAGCUGUUAUUAGAGGGUUCCUGAAGUUUUUCUUCCUUGUUCAUUCUAUACCAUUGAACUAGGCAGUAGGGAUGCUGGUGCUUGCUGAUGCUGGGAAUUCAGUCUGAUACCCAGCUUGUAGACUGUCCCUCUGCAGCUGUGCAGCAGCUGGAGCAAGGCCCAGCUGUACUGUGUUCUAGAGUGCCACUCACUUUUGUAUGUGCAUUCUCUUAUUUAAUAUUCAUAACAACUUCAUACCUGUCCCCAUUUUAAAAGUGAUGGACCCCUGUUAAACACUUUCCAAAGGCCAAACAAUUUGCAGGUGUCAAAUUUGGACAAAGAACCAGAGCAAUCUGACUUUAGAGCUGUUGCUUCCAAAUCAUUAGUUAAUACUCCUUAGUCUAUAAAGCGAAGAACCGUUACUCAUGUGGGUCCUUCCUCCAGGAUCUUCUUCCACACCAAGGCAGCUUGACUUUCAACUGCACCCUGUUCAGGGAGGGUAGAGCAUAGUCUCAUCAGAAGUGCAGGAACAGCAAAGCUCAUCCAGAUAGAGCCAUGGAAACUCAGUUCCUGGAGGCAGGGUUUGGGAUGGCUUGAGGAUGCUGCAGCAGGCAGGUUUUACAAACUGCCUCCGGAAGUGGUGCCAUGUUGGAGCACUCCAGGCUCCCUCCUCUCAUCUGCUUGGCCUUGCCCCUUAGGACCAUCUUAAGAACUUAUGGUGAUUAAGUACCUGUAAUUCUUAUCAUUCUGUAACUGCCCAACAAGCUAGUGUUUCUGAACAUCCUUACCAUCUGAUGCAUUCACUUUUCUUCUGGUAGUUAGUGGUCUAGAGGCAGAAAUAUGAGUAGUAUAUUUCAGCUUUUCUUCUUUCUACGUCAGUUCUUGCCACCAAAUUUUCUUCUAUCACUUUUGCAUAUAUGUUUUCAUCACUGUGUGCCACAAUGAAAAUUAUUGUAUAGACUGAAGGUAACAAAUUUUAUGUUUUUAAAGGGAGAAAACUUUGUUAUCUAGUGAAAAUGUCUUAGGAAACAAUUUACGCCUAAAUGUUCAGACUGAGUGAGAAAUGAUUCAUAAUUUUUUUUCUUUUGACUACACUCUCCCACCUUGAAAGUAUAUUUUGGGGUGGAAUGAAAGCUCAAAAUUGAGUUUUUUUUUAAGGAAAAAAAAUAAAAUUAAGAAGUACUUUGCUUCCAAAUCCAGCUGUGCUGGAGUUUAAAUGAGUGCUUGUGUCAAUUUUAUAUGUGAAUAUUGUAAGGGUAUGACCUAUGGGGAAAGGAGUCGAGAGUGAACUGUUUUGGGAAAAUGUUUUUUUUGCACAAGGUGUUUGCUUUUUACCUUUACAGCAGCCUGCACAGGCAGGUACUGUUGUUACCUUCAGCUUAUGGAAGAAGUAACAGGCCUCCUGGCCACAGAAGUCAUGUGUACUGAACCUAAGCUAGGCACUUGGAAUCUAGAAUGUAAGUAUUUUUAUACAACACCUUAAUAUAACUAGGUAGGAAAAAAUAAGUUGUUCCUGUAAUCCGAGGCUUGUUUUAGAGAAAGUUGAGUUAACUGUUUUAUAAAGUCACUCUGAAUGUACUUUGACCAUCAUUCAUAUAUAUGAUCCCCAGAACCAGGUAGGUGUUCCUCAGCACAUAGUAGGACUGCCCAGUGAGCUAGACUGUUUACAAAAAAUUUAUAACAACUGUGUGAAAGUCUAAAACUUUCUACAUUCCCAACUGUCCCAUAGUGAUAAAAGUUUACCUUGAUUUUUGUUAUCUUUUAAAAGGCUAUUUAAGGGGGCUAAGCUGUCACCACUUAGUAAGCACUUUGUAUAAAUCAAACCAUGUGUAACUAUAAACAUUAGUGACCUCAUAUAUGAUGCUGAGCAGUCCCGUGCCUAGCCAUCAGUAUGCCCAGGACCUUUAUUUUAUACUUAGUUAAUAUGUCACUGAUCACACUUCUUUUUAAUGAGGACUGGGAAGCAAGGUGACGUCAGAUGCUCAAUGUCACUAGUAUAUAUUACAAUAGAGAAUUGAAGUCUAUGAGAUUGGUCUUUCUUUAUUAAAGACAUACCAUCAAUUUGCAGGAGACAAAAUGCUCAGCAAAGUUCACACUUCCUCUAAUUUCUGAACAAAAAGUUUUCAAGUUUUGGCUACUCAGAUUCUGCUAAGUUUAGUUUGGAAUUUGGAGGCAUUGUUAAUACUUUCUUUUAUAAACGAAUGCUUUGAGGCCCACCACUUAAAUAAGUUUUGUCUAAAGUACACUAAAGAGUAAAAAAAAAAAAAA